GCUUGAUAAGUUAACUAACGAUAAUUCAAGUUGAUAAGUCAAUUCAAAGUGAACUUAUCUUGUUUUAAAUAACCAUAUUAAAUGUGUGAUAGGUUUCUGAACUACUCCAUGUAAAUCCAAAUAGAUCAGGGGUACAGUGCAGAGCAACUUUAGUUUAUGAAAUGAAAAUGAUUUCAUGAUGUCAAUGUUGAAGAUUACCAUCUAAUGACAGUCACUUCCCAAAGAAAAUCCUAUUUAAAACAUCAACUGGCAUAGCGUAAGCUGGAUCUACGGCCUUCAAACCAGGAUAUUCAAGAAGGGCAAGACCAGCAAUUCCAAAAAAUGUAUGGAACACAUCCACAGCAUCAUCAGGUCUAUCUGAAAUCCCUCCAUUUUCUUUGUCCUGACAGUUUAAGAUGAAUUUAACAAGCUUUUCCUUGUUAAUCCAAUGAACUCUGUCAAUCAUAGUCAAGCUAGAGAGAACCCACCAUGAGUAGCAAACAUCAGGAAGUUUUUCAGGGCGGCCAUUUAGACCUCCAGACUUGACUUGCCGCUCACAUAACCACCACCCAAGGAGGUCCUUGUCAACGAGAUGAAGAGACCCCGUAAUAGCAAGGGCAGCCAAAGAACAAAAAAUUUGUCCAGCAUGAGAUUCCCCACCGGGAGAGCAUCCAAAUCCACCAUCCACAUUUUUGCAACUUAAGAUGUAGUUCACAGCUUUCUCCACGUUUAUUUUAUCCAGACGAUGCAAUAAAGAGAGACAACAUAUAGCAACAUAAGAGAACCGUGUAUCAAUUUCACCCCACAUGUCCCCAGAAAAGGAUCCAUCUUCAUUUUGCAGUCCAACAACAUCUGACUUAGAACUAAGUAAAACCAGAAAUAGAUGGCCUACGAUACUUUUUGGAUUCUUGUUUCAAUUCAUCAGUUCUGUUGAUACACAGAUUUCUCAUAGGGAGUUAUCAAGGCCUAUAUCUAUUUUUCCAUAUUUCAGCAACCAAAAAGAAUAAAUAGUUACUUUACCAAAAAGGUAAUUUAGACAUGUUAUAAUAAGCUAAAUAGGUAUUUGCAGGGAAAAAAAAAAUCAUAGUUAUCAUGAGGAUUUUUUUGGUAACAAUUGUUUAUCUCUUACACACUAUACCAAUUCUGUUAACAAUUUCAAAGUCCACCCCACAAUAACAACAAGGAUACAGUUUGAAACUUUAUCGAUGUCAAGAACAUUUAGCUUGUUCAGAAGAGCUAAAACUUGUACAGCACUAAGGGUGUACAGAACAUGAGGGUCAUGUCCAAUGUUACCAGCAAACCCACCAGAUUCAUGUUGGCAUUGCAUGAUCCAUUCAGUUACUUCUUCUGAAUCAACUACAUCAAGCUUUCCUAAAAGAUCUAUACAGGUCAAUCCCCAGUAUGCUCCACUCAUUGUCAAGUGCUCCAUCACCAAAGAUUCAAAACUAUCCUUCCUCUUUCGAACUGAUAAAAUGUAUUCAACAUGGUUAUCAACUGCUAAUUCCCCCAUCUGUAACAUUAAGAAAAUUUUAUUUCACACUCACAGUAAAUUUUAAUUUUGCAUACUUUUCAAUGGCAGACACCAAGAAAUAAAGUUGAGCUCAAAAAAGAACUUGGGUACUUGAAUUAAAUUUAACUGAAAUAGAUAUAGGAUUUGAAUAACAGUAUCAGUCCCAACCCCAGUCACAAUCCCCAAAUUGGACCAUAAAAACAGAAUCAGCUAGAACUCCAGUGAUUUUUUUAUAAAAAGAUUAGGAAAAUGGAUAAGAUUUAUGGUUUGACAAGAAUUUAACUAAAUAUGUGAAAUCUUUAAUACUCCCAAUAUCCAAACUAACUAUUAAUUUUAUAGUUUAAAGUAACAAUUAUAAUAAAAUGGGAAUUACAUAUCCACAUAUUUUGAAUUGCCCAAAUCAGUCUAACCCUGAUUAGAAAUCCACCUUCCCAUCUGAACUCAUAUCAAAACCGAUAUCAACUACUGGAAAAAUUCCAGAACCAGUUUAUUUUCUUUUAUUUUUCUGAAACUUUAAUCAUAACACAGCCAAAGAAAUUACGACAAAAAAAAAAAGCACUUAUUCUAAAAAAUCAUUUGCUCAGAAUUCACAAUCAGAAGAAAAGCAAUGUUGAAGUUGAUUAAUCAAUACUAAAAAAACUAAAAAGGGUACAUCAUAUUCAAAACAGUAACAAAAACAAAAAGCACUCAAAAAGACUGAACUUGAUAGAGCCUAUAGGAAUUGAUGGUAAGGAAGGGUAGAGACAAAUGAGGGACAGUAAGCGAGUCAGGAUGUGAAUAAGACGGGUAGAGAUGAAAGGGCUGAGCCUCUUUGGGUUCGAUUCGGUUUAAAAUAGGAAAAACCAAAUAAACCGCAUUUAAUAGGAUAAUGGAUCCAAUCAAACCGAAUAACAUGACCUAACCGAAUUGAACCAAUAGGUUCGGUCCAUCGGUUCGAGGCUAAAAUCACAAAAAUGAAAGCAAAAGGAAACAAUCUGAUCUGAAACGUCUCAAACUCAUCGGUCAAAGGAAACAAUCUUAGCAUAUUGUUAUCCAACACACGCCAGAUUGCUCACCAACAUCAUGCAAAUCCCAAAUCCCAAUUUCACAAGUAAUAAGAAAAAAAAAAUUCAAAACAUGAUUAACAUUCAAGCUAUCAGCCAGCAGAAAAGAAAAGAAAAUGAAAUCAAGAAUUCCAAAUUGAAUCCCAGAAACACUUUUGCCUUGCAUAAUUAAAAAUUGAAACAUCUAAUUCCAGUUUACCGUUCCCUAUGAAGAUCUCCAAGCAGGAAGACAGAUUUAGAAUUUGCAAACAAAAUUCAACAAAACCUUUGGAGCUCAACUCUACAAUGGAAUCGGAUUCCUGAGAAAAAAAGACCCAAGAAAAUCAAUUGGGUUGUAAGUUACGAUACCUUCAGCUGCCGUGAGCCGCCAAACAGAGAAGUCGAGUGAAGUGAGACCUAGUGAUAGGAGAAUAGGAGUCAAUAAGAUCAGAAGAGGAGGAUGAGGAUGAUGGGCGGCGAAAAAGAGAGGAAGAGGACCGGCUCAGGGGUGUUUGGUGUAUCUGUUGAGUUAAAAAAAAAAG
This 3053-nucleotide unclassified non-coding RNA is filed under the name Hevea brasiliensis (rubber tree). Lineage: Eukaryota; Viridiplantae; Streptophyta; Magnoliopsida; Malpighiales; Euphorbiaceae. The record is from RNAcentral.